GACGAACGCUGGCGGCGUGCUUAACACAUGCAAGUCGAACGGAAUGGCCCUGCUUUUGUGGGGUGCUCGAGUGGCGAACGAGUGAGUAACACGUGAGUAGCCUGCCCUUGACUUUGGGAUAACUUCAGGAAACUGGGGCUAAUACCGGAUAGGAGCUCCUGCUGCACGGUGGGGGUUGGAAAGUUUCGGCGGUUGGGGAUGGACUCGCGGCUUAUCAGCUUGUUGGUGGGGUAGUGGCUUACCAAGGCUUUGACGGGUAGCCGGCCUGAGAGGGUGACCGGCCACAUUGGGACUGAGAUACGGCCCAGACUCCUACGGGAGGCAGCAGCGGGGAAUAUUGCACAAUGGGCGGAAGCCUGAUGCAGCAACGCCGCGUGCGGGAUGACGGCCUUCGGGUUGUAAACCGCUUUCGCCUGUGACGAAGCGUGAGUGACGGUAAUGGGUAAAGAAGCACCGGCUAACUACGUGCCAGCAGCCGCGGUGAUACGUAGGGUGCGAGCGUUGUCCGGAUUUAUUGGGCGUAAAGGGCUCGUAGGUGGUUGAUCGCGUCGGAAGUGUAAUCUUGGGGCUUAACCCUGAGCGUGCUUUCGAUACGGGUUGACUUGAGGAAGGUAGGGGAGAAUGGAAUUCCUGGUGGAGCGGUGGAAUGCGCAGAUAUCAGGAGGAACACCAGUGGCGAAGGCGGUUCUCUGGGCCUUUCCUGACGCUGAGGAGCGAAAGCGUGGGGAGCGAACAGGCUUAGAUACCCUGGUAGUCCACGCUGUAAACGGUGGGUACUAGGUGUGGGGUCCAUUCCACGGGUUCCGUGCCGUAGCUAACGCUUUAAGUACCCCGCCUGGGGAGUACGGCCGCAAGGCUAAAACUCAAAGGAAUUGACGGGGCCCCGCACAAGCGGCGGAGCAUGCGGAUUAAUUCGAUGCAACGCGUAGAACCUUACCUGGGUUUGACAUGGAUCGGGAGUGCUCAGAGAUGGGUGUGCCUCUUUUGGGGUCGGUUCACAGGUGGUGCAUGGCUGUCGUCAGCUCGUGUCGUGAGAUGUUGGGUUAAGUCCCGCAACGAGCGCAACCCUUGUUCACUGUUGCCAGCACGUUAUGGUGGGGACUCAGUGGAGACCGCCGGGGUCAACUCGGAGGAAGAUGGGGAUGACGUCAAGUCAUCAUGCCCCUUAUGUCCAGGGCUUCACGCAUGCUACAAUGGCUGGUACAGAGAGUGGCGAGCCUGUGAGGGUGAGCGAAUCUCGGAAAGCCGGUCUCAGUUCGGAUUGGGGUCUGCAACUCGACCUCAUGAAGUCGGAGUCGCUAGUAAUCGCAGAUCAGCAACGCUGCGGUGAAUACGUUCCCGGGGCU
RNAcentral lists this ribosomal RNA (1346 nucleotides) under uncultured bacterium. RNAcentral describes it as "partial 16S ribosomal RNA". It matches the Rfam family "Bacterial small subunit ribosomal RNA", at positions 28 to 1381 of the family's 1533-position model. The record is from RNAcentral.